This 1008-nucleotide long non-coding RNA is filed under the name Ailuropoda melanoleuca (giant panda). RNAcentral describes it as "lncRNA (ENSAMEG00000027997.1)". Lineage: Eukaryota; Metazoa; Chordata; Mammalia; Carnivora; Ursidae. The record is from RNAcentral.
UUGAACACCCUCUUUCAUUUUUCUGAGUUCUGGGUGCUGAUGAGAAUCACCAGCUUCCCUAUGUAGCCUCCACCUUGCCCCUCAGAGACAGGCAUGACCCUGCUCUUUGUACUGGGCUGCAUUUUCUUCCCACUGAGCUUCACUGCCCUCUGCUGGGGCCUGCAGAACCACCCCACCCUGCGGAUGGAGAGACCAGAGGCUGUUUUGGUGGCGUCCAAGUAAGAGGACAGGGUGAGGGCGUCCUUCCUGGGCCAGGGCUGGUGGAGCUGAUCUCCCGCUUUCAGGAAGAGUUAGUGGUGACAGCAGGAGCAGUGUGUGUGUGUGAGUGAGUGUGUGUGUGUGUGUGUGUGUGAGUGCGUGUGCCAGGGGUAGAUUAAGACUCAAAAGAAAAUGGCUAGGGGAUCUUUUGCAAGUUAUUUAACCUCUCUGAACUUCAGACCCCCCCCAACUUGUAAAUGGGUGUACUAAGAACACCCACCUUCCAAUCUUCAUGGAGACCUUGUGCGAGGAUAGGUGAAUUCAUGUCUGUGAAAUAGGGGUGGCCAACUCCUGCAAGGAACAAGCCUGUAGGCUCUGUGGGGAUGACUGGUGAGCUGGAGGACUCAACAUUCAGCCCACCGAAUGAAGCAGCAGCUGCUCAGCUCCCGCCAAACAUUAUGGAGCUAGAAUGUGGGCUCCAUGUUGUCUGACCUUCUGGUUCUUUCUCAAAAGAAGUUGAGCUUCGAUGUGGAAUCACCUAAUUUGCAAACACUGACAAAUAAGUUAUAAUUUAAGAAAAUACUAUCCUGGCAACACACCAGACUGGCUGAGCAAAGCAUGUUUGUGGGCCAGAUUGGGCCCUUCCGCUGCCAAUUUAUGACCUGUUUGACACAGUUUAAUACACGUGUGAACUAUCAUGGAAACUUAGGUCGGAGAGGGAGCAGGCAGAAGGCAGAAUUUACUUGGGUGUCUAGGUGAAUUCCUGGAAGACAGAAAAGUGUCUCUGUAAUUCAGGUCACCCAGAGAGAA